UUAUAGCCCCGAUGGGAGCGGUAUCCUUUUAUGGCGGGGUUCGCCAUAAAAGAUUUAGCGGACAGCGGGACGAGUG
Molecule: small RNA, 76 nt
Filed under: Flavobacterium cutihirudinis
Lineage: Bacteria; Pseudomonadati; Bacteroidota; Flavobacteriia; Flavobacteriales; Flavobacteriaceae
Description: Flavo-1 RNA
Rfam family: Flavo-1 RNA
Source: RNAcentral